This 768-nucleotide ribosomal RNA is filed under the name uncultured bacterium. RNAcentral's name for it is "bacterial SSU rRNA". It matches the Rfam family "Bacterial small subunit ribosomal RNA", at positions 8 to 796 of the family's 1533-position model. The record is from RNAcentral.
AGAGUUUGAUCAUGGCUCAGAACGAACGCUGGCGGCAUGCCUAACACAUGCAAGUCGAACGCUUUUGGGGCUUCGGCCCCAAGGGAGUGGCGCACGGGUGAGUAGCGCGUGGGAACCUGCCCUGUUGUGGGGGAUAACCGAGGGAAACUUCGGCUAAUACCGCAUAAGCCGGUUGUCUUGAGAGAGAUGGCCGGGAAAGAUUUAUCGCGACAGGAGGGGCCCGCGUCGGAUUAGCUAGUUGGUGGGGUAACGGCCCACCAAGGCUGUGAUCCGUAGCUGGUCUGAGAGGAUGAUCAGCCACACUGGGACUGAGACACGGCCCAGACUCCUACGGGAGGCAGCAGUGGGGAAUAUUGGACAAUGGGCGCAAGCCUGAUCCAGCAAUGCCGCGUGAGUGAUGAAGGCCUUAGGGUUGUAAAGCUCUUUCGCCCGCGACGAUGAUGACGGUAGCGGGAGAAGAAGCCCCGGCUAACUUCGUGCCAGCAGCCGCGGUAAUACGAAGGGGGCGAGCGUUGUUCGGAUUUACUGGGCGUAAAGGGCGCGUAGGCGGCCCUCCUUGUCGCGUGUGAAAGCCCCGGGCUCAACCUGGGAAUUGCGCGCGAAACGGGGGGGCUUGAGUUCGGGAGAGGAGCGUGGAAUUCCCAGUGUAGAGGUGAAAUUCGUAGAUAUUGGGAAGAACACCGGUGGCGAAGGCGGCGCUCUGGACCGAGACUGACGCUGAGGCGCGAAAGCGUGGGGAGCAAACAGGAUUAGAUACCCUCGUAGUCC